GGAGGAACGUAUAGUUACACAACGUAAAGUUCAAAUACNAGAAUGAUAAUGACAAUCUUAUAUUACAGUCUUGGCAAAUUCCCGUGCCAGCAGUCGCGGCAAUACGGGUAAGGCAAGUGUUAUUCAUAUUCAAAAGGUUUAAAGGGUACCUAGACAGUAUAAUUACCUUGUAUUACAAGUACAUAUAUUACUAGAGUUUUAUGGAAGAGGUUCUCUUAGUACCAAUGGAGUAAAGAUUGAAUUUUUAGAUACUAUCGGGCACUGGUAACGGCGAAGGCAUACCUCUAUGUAAAAACUGACGUUAAGGUACGAAGGCUUGGGGAACGAUCAGGAUUAGAUACCCUAGUAGUCCAAGCAGUAAAAAAUGAGUGCCACAGGUAAAAAUAAUUUUAUUUAUAAAUGAAAGUGUAAGCAUUCCACCUCAAGAGUAACGUGGCAACACCGAAACUGAAAUCAUUAGACCGUUUCUGAGAUAAGUAGUGAAGUAUGUUGUUUAAUUCGAUGAUCCGCGAAAAAUCUUACCACUGCUUGAAUAUUAUGAUAAUUAUACAAAAUUAUAAUUAAUUGUUUGUAAUACAGGUGCUGCACGGCUGUCUUUAGUUUAUGUUGUGAAAUUAAGGUUAGGUCCGAAAUAUUUACAAAAACCCUUGCUUUUUUUUUUUAGUAGAUCACUAGUACAAGAGUAUGAUAAUAGGGAAUAAGGCAAGCACUCGUG
RNAcentral lists this ribosomal RNA (715 nucleotides) under Dichosporidium nigrocinctum. RNAcentral describes it as "SSU rRNA". It matches the Rfam family "Bacterial small subunit ribosomal RNA", at positions 422 to 1197 of the family's 1533-position model. Lineage: Eukaryota; Fungi; Ascomycota; Arthoniomycetes; Arthoniales; Roccellaceae. The record is from RNAcentral.